GCGUUUCGCCGAAGCUUUCUCAAAAGUGAAUGAAUCAUUUUGAAUGAAUCAUUCAUUCACUUUUGAGAAAGCUUCGGCGAAACGC
Molecule: non-coding RNA, 85 nt
Organism: Pelobates cultripes (western spadefoot toad)
Lineage: Eukaryota; Metazoa; Chordata; Amphibia; Anura; Pelobatidae
Source: the annotation of a GenBank genome assembly